CUCUCAAUCUUUCGAUUUGAGUACCUCGAGAUGUCCUCAUCAGGGACCUCAAACUUCCUUGGUUGAUAACCUUUCCAUGGGUUGCUACUAGCUUCUCAAACACAUAUCUGAUCAGAUCCAUUUUGGACAUCCACAAAGUGGUAUGAAUCAGCAUACACUGUCUCAGUCGGCGAGCAGCCUAUGCCGAAGUACAUCAAGUUUUUUCGAACAGUGAGUGUAUUGUUUCACAGUCGAUAAACUUUUUGCUUAGGUAAAUUGCAUACUCUUUUCGACAAGACUAGUCAUGCUGACUCAAUACGCACCUCGUAGACCCCUCGAGGGUUAUCAAGUACCGGAUUAACAGUUAUUUCUUUCACUGAGGUAUCAGAAUCAGAGGUUCCUACAACUUACCCUCUUUUUUUUU
Molecule: long non-coding RNA, 403 nt
Filed under: Lathyrus oleraceus (garden pea)
Lineage: Eukaryota; Viridiplantae; Streptophyta; Magnoliopsida; Fabales; Fabaceae
Description: Pisum sativum (pea) long non-coding RNA (PSAT_LNC023068)
Source: RNAcentral